AUGGCCCCUAAUAGAGCCCCUGGACCCGAUAAUAUCCCUGUUGAGUUCUAUCAGGUGUGCUGGAAUAUAGUUAAAGAUGACAUUAUGGCCCUUUUUAAAGCCUUCCACCAAGGGACACUGGAUGCUCAGAGACUUAAUUAUGGAGUUAUUACUCUGCUCCCUAAAGUUUCUGGAGCCGAGAAAAUCCAGCAAUACAGGCCUAUUUGCUUGUUGAGAUGCCCAUAUAAGUUGAUCACCAAAGUCCUUGACCGAAGAGUUGCUAUAUAUGCAAACAAACUCAUUAGCCCUACUCAGAACGCCUUUGUAAAAGGGAGAAAUAUCAUGGACGGUGUCCUGUCCCUCCAUGAAAUUCUUAACUACACUUAUGUUAAGAAGAAAGUGGGAAUUGUCCUUAAGUUGGACUUUGAAAAAGCCUAUGAUAAGGUGAAUUGGGACUUUCUCCUAGAAUGCCACAAGAUGCGGGGCUUUGAUAAUACUUGGUGCGGAUGGAUUGAACAGAUACUGCAUAAUGGGACAGUUAGCAUCAAGCUUAAUGGUAGUGUUGGGCCGUAUUUUCAAAGCAAAAAAGGGGUAAGGCAGGGGGACCCACACUCUCCUUUCCUGUUCAAUCUAGCAGUUGAAUGCCUCACUAAAAUGAUCAAACAUGCCCAAAAAAAACUUAUUGUGGGCUUAGCUGCCGACCUUAUUCCUGAUGGGGUGGCGGUCCUGCAAUAUGCGGAUGAUACAAUCAUUUGUAUUGAA
RNAcentral lists this ribosomal RNA (741 nucleotides) under Triticum aestivum (bread wheat). RNAcentral describes it as "partial small subunit ribosomal RNA". The record is from RNAcentral. Lineage: Eukaryota; Viridiplantae; Streptophyta; Magnoliopsida; Poales; Poaceae.